CAAGAUACUACAAAUUGGGUGGCUAGAACAGCAGGUGCUACAACAGGCACAUCCGUGAAGCAUACAGCAAAGCUGAAAGACAGGCUACAUUCAUCCAGACUCGAAGACUGGUCCCCAAGGCCUAGUGCAGAAAAUUAACUUGUUGAUAGUCAAGCAGCUGGCCACUGGAAGAGUUGGGAUUCAAACAUGCUUACUUAUCCUGAAACUCUGACAAUCGUCAGUGCUGUCAAGCCAGAAAUCAGCCUGAAACUGUAAGCCCCAUUUUGUGGGAAAACAUGUUUACAUACUUUCACACUUCCUUCCUCAGAUCCUUUUGGACCACAAGAAAGCAUUAUAUAACUGAUUAUAAAUAAACAAGUCAUGUUAAUAAAUUCACAUUCACACA
Erinaceus europaeus (western European hedgehog) is the source of this 385-nucleotide long non-coding RNA. RefSeq lists it as uncharacterized. Lineage: Eukaryota; Metazoa; Chordata; Mammalia; Eulipotyphla; Erinaceidae. The record is from RefSeq and is a predicted model, not a curated record. The transcript is spliced from 2 exons.